GAUGAAGAACGCAGCGAAAUGCGAUAAGUAAUGUGAAUUGCAGAAUUCAGUGAAUCAUCGAAUCUUUGAACGCACCUUGCGCUCCUUGGUAUUCCGGGGGGCAUGCCUAUUCGAGCGUCGUAGUCACGCUUCAAGCCCCGGCUUGGUGAUGGGGAACGCCCUCUCUCAGGGGGGGGCCUCCUUCAAACGCAACUCCGGACGCCUCUGUUGGCUGGGAGCGCAGCAGCAGUGCGCUUCCCCGAGGCGCCCGGGCGCCCCCUCGCGGGCCCGAGAUUGCUAGACCUCGAAUUAGGCAGGGAUACCCGCUGAACUUAAGCAUAUCAAUAAGCGGAGGA
Molecule: unclassified non-coding RNA, 335 nt
Filed under: soil metagenome
Description: partial contains 5.8S ribosomal RNA, internal transcribed spacer 2, and large subunit ribosomal RNA
Rfam family: 5.8S ribosomal RNA (bases 1-120)
Source: RNAcentral